This is a non-coding RNA of Megalopta genalis, 3206 nucleotides long. Lineage: Eukaryota; Metazoa; Arthropoda; Insecta; Hymenoptera; Halictidae. The record is from RefSeq and is a predicted model, not a curated record.
CUCCACUCGAGGGCAAAGGGUUAAUACAAACUCAUAAAAAUGAUUAAAAGAAGAUAAAAGCUUGCGUUUGUGUCUCCUUAUGUCUUGCGAUUGCCGAGGACAAUUUUGACUUUGCAUAAAGAUCCGCGGUCUAUCUACGACAAUAACGAGAUUGGAUUUAUUUUUAUUACAUAAAAUAUGCUAGAAUAAAAAAAAUGUAUCUAAAAAUCUCUCAUGGAAACACGAGGAACCGCGGACGCGGCGCCUACCUUAUCACGUAUUUCGCCCACGGGAUUCCCCUGGACGAGAAGGCUUCGGGAAGAGCCGCGGUCGGAUUUAUGUUCCAGUAGGGCACGACCAGGGUGAGUGCGGCUCCGACCAUCACGUACCCAAUGGUAACGAUAGCCAUCGAGAUGAUGGUUGCUCGCGGUAUGCUGUAACUCGGGUCGCGCGCCUCCUCGCCGGAAGUCGCGAUCGAGUCGAAGCCAACGAACGCGUAGAAACAGGUUGCCGCACCUGAUCGGAUCGCAGUAAAGCCAUUAGAAACUCGAUCGGCGAACAAUUCUCGCGAUAAAAAACAGUACCUGCUAGCACGCCGGUGAAACCGUACGGCAGAAAUCCUCCGUUCUCGUUGCUCCAGUUCGAAAUGUUCGCGUACGAGAUCCCCAAACCGAUCACCAGUGCCAUCACACCGAGAUUCACUAUAGUCAGCAGAGAGUUCACCGUCGCCGAACACUUGACGCCCAACGCGAGCAGCAUGGCGUAAGCCAGGCACAGGCCGCCGGCAAGCAGAUCCGGAAAAUUGCCCAGCGGCUCUCCCAUGGUGUAACCGUGCAUCGCCUGCCGGGUGUAAUUGCUGAUCGAUCCUCCUGCCAAGGAGUCCACGUAUCCGCUCCAAGCUCUGGCCACGGACGCCGCUCCUAUCCGGCGAUGGAAAUAUUCGACGUAUUGGAAAUGCAGCGUAGGAGUGCAACGCGUAAAUGCGUAGAAACAGCGCCGAGCAGGCCUCCGACAGGGAGGUCAGACCAAUUCCGGAGAAUUUAACCGUACUCGGGUCGACUAGCGUCGAGCGAAUCGCGGGGCCUCACCGAUCAUGUGCUCCAGGAUGAUGUUCCAACCGAUCACGAACGCCCAGAACUCCCCGACGGAGACGUAAGUGUAAACGUACGCGCUGCCGGCCUUCGGGACUCGGGCCCCGAAUUCCGCGUAGCAUAGGGCCGCGAGCAGGGAGGCCAUGCCGGCGAACAGGAAGCUUAAAAUUACACCUGGCCCGGCUGUGUCGUGCGCCACUGCGCCCGUCAGGACGUAGAUCCCGGCGCCGACCAUAUGCCCGACACCUGAAACACAAACGUUUUACCAUUUUCCCGGCGUGACUCGUCCGCGCGUAUCGCCGCGGCAAUGGCUCGCUUCCGGUUUCGAACCGUUAUCGGGAAACCAACGCGACAUCCUGGACGACGAUCGCGUCGUUGACGUCGCACUGCCGCGAGAAAUACGCGCUAUAUAUGUACAUGUAUACUCACCCAGCAAAGUGAUGUCGAACGUCGACAAACAUCGUUUCAUCGGAGUCUCGAGCAAAUCGCCUUCGAGCUUCUUCGUCCGAUUCAUCUUGGUGCACAAGUCGGACAUGACGUGUCCGAGGAUCAUCCGGCGAACCGACGGCAUAUUGUCGUCGUUUUCUGGAACAAAUCGGAGAAAUCACAGUGUCGUCUGUUACGUGUAACCGAAGCUCUUUCGACUCGAUCGACGCGGUUCGAGCGACGCGAGACGAGUCGCGUCGACGUUUCUUUCGUCGACGAAUUCGCGUCGACGAAGAGAAUUCGCGAGGCUCGCGCGGAGGGGUGCACAAGGGGCGACAGACGGGCGAUUAAGGAGUCGCUGUUGUACGAUUCGAGGCGGUGCGUCGUACAGUUUUGUUUGCGGUACUUACGGAGAUCUGCUUGCACGUUCUCGGUCGGGAAAUGUCUGAGAAAGUCGCGAGCGUCGUUCUAACGAGCUACGAUGCACGAGAUCACAGCGGACGCUGGAAUCUACGGAGUCGCAUGGCGCUUCCGCUAGCACGCAAACUCGGAUAUUCGAUCGAUUCAGCGGCGAUAGACCUAUUUAUGUAACGCAAACAGUAUGAAUGAAACGGGCUGCGUUAAUUCCGAUCGUUCUCGACCGGGCUGAGUUUCAUCUUUCAUUCCGUUCCCGCGAUCUAUGCGUCGCGACGACGAUGUUCGUCCAACUCGGAUUUCGCUCUCCUCGAUUUCCAGAUUUCCGAUUUGUGAUGAUCUUGGUCUCGAAGUGUUCAAGGCUAUCGUGCGCGAGAAAUGCUGCGCGUUUGAACGUAUAUCUCGAAUAUUGGGGGUUGGUACAGACAUCGCAUCUUUUAUGGGAUUUUCUCUGUCUAGGAUUUUCGGAGUCCUGAUUGCAAAAACUACCCCCUUACCAUUUCGGUGGCAGCAAGUAGCGAAACUCGCCGUCGGACAAGUUUCGGUAGUCCGCCACGGAUGGCAUCGCAAUUUGUCGAGGAGUUAUCCUGACUCGACCCUACGUAGCUUUCAGAAUUGAUUUUAAUUGACUUGUGAAUUUACGUGUAAUAAUUUGAAGGCUUCAAUCAUUUCGCUGCGAAAGUUACUGGUCACAGCAAGCCGAAUUUUAUCGAAAUUUAUUGUUAAAUGCAUUCGAUUCUCAGUAAGAAGCUUGAACAAUCUCAACCCCUUCCCCUAUAACGUCGAGUUAGGGUCGGCUGAUUGGGGUCCGAAGAAUGAAAAAGACGGGCCACAGUUUUCCUAUAAUUUAAUUUAGCAUUUAAUUGGUAUUUAAUUUAGACUGCCAUCUAACGAAAUUAUGUGCGAGGGAGAGUGAAUCAGAGUGUAUACUCAUAUAUGGGGACUGCAAGAACAAAGUUAUAGAUGCGAUUAAAAUCGAUUCGGACAGAAAUCUUGCGGACAUAAUGACUAAACCGUUGAGUAGAUUGAAGUUCAUUUAUUUAGAAAAUUAAAUAUUAGAUUAGAAUUAGAAAAUUAAAGUAUAAUUUGUAAUUUUAAAUAUGGAAAGAUACAAAUGUAAUAAGGUUUUUUUUUUGAAGUACAUUUGUAUUUACACUGCAAUCUAGGGGUGCGAAGUUACGUUUAAGGGAGAUUCAGGGUGAACGUGUCCCGUAUACAUGUUGUUCUCAUUUUCAUUUACAUUAUUAAUCUAUUAUUGUUAUUAUUAUUAUUAUUAUAUUGAAACUUUGCAGAAAA